UACGGAGGAUCCGAGCGUUAUCCGGAUUUAUUGGGUUUAAAGGGUGCGUAGGUGGCCUGUUAAGUCAGGGGUGAAAGACGGUAGCUCAACUAUCGCAGUGCCUUUGAUACUGACGGGCUUGAAUACACUAGAGGUAGGCGGAAUGUGACAAGUAGCGGUGAAAUGCAUAGAUAUGUCACAGAACACCAAUUGCGAAGGCAGCUUACUAUGGUGCAAUUGACACUGAGGCACGAAAGCGUGGGGAUCAAAC
This 250-nucleotide ribosomal RNA is filed under the name uncultured bacterium. RNAcentral describes it as "partial 16S ribosomal RNA". It matches the Rfam family "Bacterial small subunit ribosomal RNA", at positions 524 to 773 of the family's 1533-position model. The record is from RNAcentral.